RNAcentral lists this ribosomal RNA (303 nucleotides) under uncultured bacterium. Its description in RNAcentral is "partial 16S ribosomal RNA". It matches the Rfam family "Bacterial small subunit ribosomal RNA", at positions 507 to 808 of the family's 1533-position model. The record is from RNAcentral.
AGCAGUAGCCGCGGUAAUACGUAGGUGGCAAGCGUUGUCCGGAAUUAUUGGGCGUAAAGGGCUCGCAGGCGGUUCCUUAAGUCUGAUGUGAAAGCCCCCGGCUCAACCGGGGAGGGUCAUUGGAAACUGGAAACUUGAGUGCAGAAGAGGAGAGUGGAAUUCCACGUGUAGCGGUGAAAUGCGUAGAGGUGUGGAAGAACACCAGUGGCGAAGGCGACUCUCUGGUCUGUAACUGACGCUGAGGAGCGAAAGCGUGGGGAGCGAACAGGAUUAGAUACCCGCGUAGUCCCUGUCUCUUAUACA